GAAAAAAAUCGGAUGUACUAAGCACUGCCGAGUCAUUGUAGUAAUACAAGGCAGACAGCUCAGUAACGCGUAGUCCAUUUAACCUAUGGACGGGAAUAACCUCGGGAAACUGAGUAUCCCUGCCCGAUAGAACAUUAUGCCUGGAAUGGUUUAUGUUCCAAAUGAUUUAUCGCCGUAGGAUGGGACUGCGGCCUAUCAGUUUGUUGGUGAGGUAAUGGCCCACCAAGACUAUUACAGGUACGGGCUCUGAGAGGAGUGGCCCGGAGAUGGGUACUGAGACACGGACCCAGGCCCUAUGGGGCGCAGCAGGCGAGAAAACUUUGCAAUGUGCGAAAGCACGACAAGGUUAAUCCGAGUGGUUUCUGCUAAAGGAACCUUUUGUCGGUCCUAGAAACACCGAUGAAUAAGGGGUGGGAAAGUUCUGGUGUCAGCCGCCGCGGUAAAACCAGCACCUCAAGUGGUCAGGAUGAUUAUUGGGCCUAAAGCAUCCGUAGCCGGCUUUGUUAGUUUUCGGUUAAAUCUGUACGCUCAACGUACAGGCUGCCGGGAAUACUGCAGAGCUAGGGAGUGGGAGAGGUAGACGGUACUCGGUAGGAAGGGGUAAAAUCCUUUGAUCUAUUGAUGACCACCUGUGGCGAAGGCCGUCUACCACAACACGUCCGACGGUGAGGGAUGAAAGCUGGGGGAACAAACCGGAUUAGAAACCAGGGUAGUCCCCAGCUGUAAACUAUGCAAACUCAAUGAUGCAUUGGCUUGUGGUCAAUGGAAUGGCUUGCAGGGAAAACGUUUAGUUUGCCCCCUUGGGAAUACGUUACGCAAGUAUGAAACCUCAAGGAU
This 837-nucleotide ribosomal RNA is filed under the name uncultured marine archaeon. RNAcentral describes it as "bacterial SSU rRNA". It matches the Rfam family "Archaeal small subunit ribosomal RNA", at positions 25 to 864 of the family's 1478-position model. The record is from RNAcentral.